Molecule: ribosomal RNA, 479 nt
Filed under: uncultured bacterium
Lineage: Bacteria
Description: bacterial SSU rRNA
Rfam family: Bacterial small subunit ribosomal RNA
Source: RNAcentral
AAUGCUUUACGACAUGCAAGUCGAGCGGCAGCGCGGGGGCAACCCUGGCGGCGAGCGGCGAACGGGUGAGUAACAUAUCGGAACGUACCCCGUCGUGGGGGAUAACACAGCGAAAGCUGUGCUAAUACCGCAUACGACCUGAGGGUGAAAGCGGGGGAUCGCAAGACCUCGCGCGAUGGGAGCGGCCGAUAUCGGAUUAGCUUGUUGGUGAGGUAAAGGCUCACCAAGGCGACGAUCCGUAGCUGGUCUGAGAGGACGACCAGCCACACUGGAACUGAGACACGGUCCAGACUCCUACGGGAGGCAGCAGUGGGGAAUUUUGGACAAUGGGGGCAACCCUGAUCCAGCCAUUCCGCGUGAGUGAAGAAGGCCUUCGGGUUGUAAAGCUCUUUCAGCAGGAACGAAACGGUGGCCACUAAUACUGGCUACUAAUGACGGUACCUGAAGAAGAAGCACCGGCUAACUACGUGCCAGCAGCC